UCUGAUUGGUCAGGAUGCCUCUCUGGCCAAUAGAAACCAGGUCCGUUGCGCACAUGCGUAAGGAGGCUAACCCACAGUCGGCUCCGUCCUACGUGAGUCCUACGGCUGCGGUUGCAAGAGAAGAACGGCUGCCAAGUCAGGAGUGGGAACCCCCCCCGGAACUCUGCAGCAACGCGACCCCAAGGAGAGGAGCGAAGAGUCUCGCGCGUGAGAGGCCUUGGAAGCGUGCUGUCGUUCUUGCUGAGGCUCACGGGAGACGUAGUCCGAGCGAAGGGGGCCGAUCCGGCGGAGCAGAUGCAGGAUUGGCCGGGCUGGUCCCUCUGUCACCUCCAAAAAGACCCUUCAAAACAAGAAUGCCAUCUCCUCGGGGUACCCCACACCUAUCCCUCAGAGACUCCAGGACCACCCUUGAGGAGCCUGAGGCUGCACGACUCCGUUUCCGGGGUUUCUGCUAUGAGGAGGUUGAGGGACCCCGAGAGGCACUGGCCCAGCUUCGAGAGUUGUGUCACCAGUGGCUACAGCCUGAGUCAUCCUCCAAAGAACACAUAAUAGAGUUGCUGAUUUUGGAACAGUUCCUGGGUGUGUUGCCCCCUGAGAUCCAGGCCUGGGUUCGAGGGCAGCGACCAGGAAGCCCCGAGGAGGCCGCAGUUCUUGUUGAGGGGCUGCAGCAUGAUCCUGGGCAGCUGCUGGGCUGGAUCACAGCCCACAUCCUGAAGCCAAAGAUGCUUCCUCUAGUCCAGAAGGAGUCCUCAGGGAGUCACCACAUCUCAGCAGCAACGGAGUCCUCCAAGGCAGGCCUUGCGGAGGCACCGCUGAAGGCCGGGAUAGAUCGAUCUACCCAGAUCAGUUGCAGUGUGAAGGAGGAAGUCAGUGCUGAUGGGCAGGAGAUGGUAUCUCCAAGUGCCCUCCUUUCAACCCAGGAUUCCGAGGGACAUCUUGAACAUCAGGAAACGGUCUCCAUAUCCUUCCAAACAGGAAGGAUCCAGGUAAACAGCCUCUCGCAGGAACUGCAGGCCAUGUGUGGGGGAGGGGAUUACCCCUGGUGGCUGUGUUCUGCCCUGUAGUUUUGUAGGAUCCCCUGCCAGUGACUCAUGCGCUUUUUACUGCUUCUGAGUAGUAAAUACCUUCCCUCCCACCAAGUCCUAAGAGCUGAAGAAUAGACCGGUAGAAUCGAACUAGAAAGGAUUUAGGCCCCAGGUCCAGGGUGUCUAGAACUGGCGGGCAUGGCUUCCUCACUUCCAGAGAAGUCAGUUACUGGAAAGGUUUGUGGUAUGAGCCAGCUGUUAUGUGUACGGUUGGAGAGGUGUCCUGCAGUCCUGAGGUCAGAUCAAGAUACUCUUCCCGAACAUUCCUCGAAUCCCUUCUACUGCUCUUCUCAGUGUACAGUGGCAUGGAACCUGAGCUUACCCCACUACCCGAGUGUAUAUAGUUAACGUGGAGGGGGUAGGGAUCUGUGCUCUCCAGGUUCCUUCUGCUUCCGAGCCCCUCCCUUCCCCAGUAGGAUGCCUAGUUAGGGUGUGCUUCAAGGUUAAGAAUCCCUUCUCUGACCCCUCUCUGGUGUCUUCCUCCAUUCCAGACAGUAGUACCAACUCUCGAUGUAACUAUGGCUGCCACCUCCCUUUCUCCAGAUUUGCUUUGGCUUGUCCUUCGAGGUUUUUUUCUCAACCUAUCAAAGACCUAUAUGGCAGAUUUCAGGGCAAGGAAUUUUUUUCCUUGGUAAGGCCACCAUAGGACCCUGUCUUGCCACCAAACUACCUCUCUUCAGACCUUUCCAGCUGGUACCAAGCACCUAAGCUUUUUUUCUCCAUCACUUUUGCGUACUCACCUCGUCACAGUCCUAAAAUUCCUCCUCCUCUUCCUCCUCCUUUUUUCUUUUUUCUUUUUCUUUUUUGGUGUGUGUAUGGGAGGGCAGUUCAAGACAAGGUUUCUUUGAAUAACAAGCCCCAGCUGUCCCGGACUGGCUUUGUAGACCAAGGAACUCCUGAGUGCUGGGAUUAAAGGAGUGGGGCCUGUUGGACUCAUCACAAAAAGAGCUGUGCUGGGGUGUGAUGCCGGAGAAGUACGACACAGUGGUGUCCCAGGCCUGCCGCUGCUACAGCCAGAGACACAUGUUGACUCUGAGCUGAGACCAAAACAGGAGAUGCCACACGAAGGACCAGAAUCCCUCCGGAGCCAUCCCCCAGAAGUGGGAGCCAUUGCAGAUCCAAGGCUAGUUCAAGCCACUCCAAGUGAAAGGCAGAGCCCUUGCAAGGACCCUUCAGUCUUGUCUCCCACACCACUGCUUGAAGCCCCAGCGAGGCCCACACCUCGGAAGCUGUACGUUUGUGAGCAGUGUGGCCUCAGCUUUGACUGGAAGUCCGUUUUCAUCAUCCACCUCCGCACACACACGAGAGGGCCAGGCCUGGAGAGACCAUCACAGGUGGCCCGGGAGCCGGCCAUGAAGCGCUCCCCUGGCCUUCGGGGAUACACAUGCGUGGAGUGUGGGCGCAGCUUCAGCUGGAAGUCACAGCUGGUCAUCCACCGCAAGAGCCAUGCAGGCCAGCGGCGCCACUUCUGCCGCGACUGUGGCUGUAGCUUUGACUGGAAGUUUCAGCUGGUCAUUCACAGGAAGAUCCACCAGCCAGAGGGUCCAUGAGUAGCUGGAGAGGCAUGUCUCACCUUGGAUUCCUCCAUCCCCUAAUGCACCACUUUAGCAUCCUCUCUAGCCAAGAGGAGGUUCUAAGGUACCCCAAAUAGGUCAGGGAUUGCAAGAAGAUUGCCCUGUCCAACACCAGACUAUCCAGUGUAAGGAGAAGAGGCUAGUCCCUUCCUUUGGCCCCUGCUUUGUGGAGCCAGGCCUGGGUUCGAUGACUAACCUAUCCAGCUUGUGCAAAAGGUGGACACUCCCUACUUCAGGAUGCUCAGAAAUUGCCUCAGGUCCCUCCUUGCAGUGGCUGGGCAAGAAGUCUCUGUGGAAGGUACUGGAAACCACAGUUGCCUUUCUCCCCUGCUGCAUGUGACCCUUAGACAAACAUGCUAGAUUUGUUUGUUUUGUUUUGUUUUUUGAGACAGGGUUUUUUCUGUGUAACCCUGGCUAUCCUGGAACUUACUCUGAAGACCAGGCUGGCCUUGAACUCAGAAAUUCACCUGCCUCUGCCUCCCAAGUGCUGGAAUUAAAGGCAUGUGCCACCACUGCCUGGCUAACAUGGUAGAUUUUUAAUGUAAGUUAUACGUCUAUAACAAUUUCUAAGUAAAACUCCUGACUUCUAGCUUCCAUUGACCAAAAGAGCAGCCGUGUGUGCUGGCUAGCAGACUACAGGAACCACAGGGCAGCUGAGCCCUAAAAGGCCUAAUUAGUUACUUCUCUCCUCCAGCCUACCUAGUUUCCUGACUACACACAUUGCUCCCCACCCGCCCUGGCCUUUGAACUCCUGAACUUGAACUUGGAUGAACAACUGACUCUCCUUUGGGUGCAUGAGAGCACAUGAGUGGAUUCUGAGAAGUUAGAUAACCCAUGGGUACCUCAGGCCAUGCAUGCUUCUGGGUGAAGGCUACACCGCACAAUGGCCAGUUAAACUGGAAGACAAAGGGUCAUUCCUUGAUGCCCAGGGAACUGUGACCCUCUUAACAAUCACUCAGAAUUUUUCAGUGCAUGGUGGCCUACUAACUCUGCCUGUAAACUAGGUAGAGCAAAACAGAUUUACUUACUAAUUGUUCCAGUGUCAAAGCACUGAAGCAUGUCUCAUUAGAUCAAAGACAGACUUACCCUGGGAGCUACCCGAGACCCUUGGCUUAGGACCUCUUUUUCCAUCUGCUUAAAGAGCCUUUGAAUGGCAUGGGUCCCCUUAGAUAUUCCAGGGUGAUCACCUGAAGCUCAGGUGAUGAGAUGGGAGCUUUUCUUUUGUUUGAGACAGGGUCUCCUAAUGCAGCAGCUGCUGCCUCUAACUGGUGAUCCUCCUGUCUCAGCUUCCUAUGUGUUGGAACUAUAGGCUUGUACCACCAAGCCCAGGUUGGUAUUUUAAACUCUCUGUAUAUAUGUUUAAGACAGUCUCACUUUAAUGCCCUCAAACUAUCUGUAGUCCUUCAACCUCAGCCCCUGAGUGUUGGAAUUAAAGUUGUGUGUCACUGCGCCAGACUAAGACUUUAAAUACUUUUGAUUUUAAAAUUUCGAACUAUGGAGCAGGAUUCAGUGCUGUAGGCAGAUCUCUGUUAGUUUGAGGUCAGAUUGCUUUGCAUAGUGUGUUCCAGGACAGCCAGGGGCUAUUGUGAGACCCUGUCUUAAAAAUAAGUAAAGAGAAAAAAAAUAAGUAAAGAAAUAAGCAAAUAAAUUCUGCAGAUGGGCACAUCAAAGUGUCGUCUAGAAACCUGAGUUUUCAA
Mus musculus (house mouse) is the source of this 4356-nucleotide RNA transcript. It is a transcript of the gene named zinc finger protein 446, with no coding region annotated. NCBI's taxonomy places the organism in Eukaryota, Metazoa, Chordata, Mammalia, Rodentia, Muridae. The record is from RefSeq and is marked validated. The transcript is spliced from 6 exons.